RNAcentral lists this ribosomal RNA (371 nucleotides) under uncultured bacterium. RNAcentral describes it as "bacterial SSU rRNA". It matches the Rfam family "Bacterial small subunit ribosomal RNA", at positions 527 to 896 of the family's 1533-position model. The record is from RNAcentral.
GAAGGGUGCAAGCGUUAUUYGGAAUUAUUGGGSGUAAAGGGUGCGCAGGCGGCMUGYUAAGUCAGCUGUUUAAUUYCUCGGCCUAACUGAGRGUCAGCAGCUGAUACUGGUGUGCUAGAGGGUGGAAGAGAGAAGUGGAAUUCUCGGAGUAGCGGUAAAUGCGUAGAUCUCGAGAGGAACACCAAUGGCGAAGGCAGCUUCUUGGUCCACACCUGACGCUCAUGCACGAAAGCGUGGGGAGCAAACAGGAUUAGAUACCCUGGUAGUCCACGCUGUAAACGAUGAUCACUAGACGUUAUUUCUGCUCUGCAGAAAUAGUGUCGUAGCUAACGCGUUAAGUGAUCCGCCUGGGGAGUACGGUCGCAAGAUUA